GGAAGGGAUGUAUUUAUUAGAUAAAAAACCAACGCCCUUCGGGGCUUCUUGGUGAUUCAUGAUAACUUUACGGAUCGCAUGGCCUUGCGCCGGCGACGGUUCAUUCAAAUUUCUGCCCUAUCAACUUUCGAUGGUAAGGUAUUGGCUUACCAUGGUUUCAACGGGUAACGGGGAAUUAGGGUUCGAUUCCGGAGAGGGAGCCUGAGAAACGGCUACCACAUCCAAGGAAGGCAGCAGGCGCGCAAAUUACCCAAUCCCGACACGGGGAGGUAGUGACAAUAAAUAACAACGCAGGGCUCCUUCGGGUCUUGUUAUUGGAAUGAGUACGAUUUAAAUCUCCUAACGAGGAACAAUUGGAGGGCAAGUCUGGUGCCAGCAGCCGCGGUAAUUCCAGCUCCAAUAGCGUAUAUUAAAGUUGUUGCAGUUAAAAAGCUCGUAGUUGAAUUUCAGGCCUGGCUGGACGGUCCGCCUUUUGGGUGAGUACUGUCUGUGGUCGGGUCCUACCUUCUGGCGAAGCGUCAUGGCCUUAACCGGCCGUGGCGGGGAACCAGGACUUUUAC
This 560-nucleotide ribosomal RNA is filed under the name uncultured fungus. RNAcentral's name for it is "bacterial SSU rRNA". It matches the Rfam family "Eukaryotic small subunit ribosomal RNA", at positions 194 to 755 of the family's 1831-position model. The record is from RNAcentral. Lineage: Eukaryota; Fungi.